CGGGAAUUUUGGGCAAUGGGCGAAAGCCUGACCCAGCAACGCCGCGUGAGGGAUGAAGUAUUUCGGUAUGUAAACCUCGAAAGAAUGGGAAGAACAAAUGACGGUACCAUUUAUAAGCUCCGGCUAACUACGUGCCAGCAGCCGCGGUAAUACGUAGGGUGCGAGCGUUAAUCGGAAUUACUGGGCGUAAAGGGUGCGCAGGCGGUCUUGCAAGUCAGAUGUGAAAGCCCCGGGCUUAGCCUGGGAAUUGCGUUUGAAACUACAAGGCUAGAGUGCAGCAGAGGGGAGUGGAAUUCCAUGUGUAGCAGUGAAAUGCGUAGAGAUGUGGAAGAACACCGAUGGCGAAGGCAGCUCCCUGGGUUGACACUGACGCUCAUGCACGAAAGCGUGGGGAGCAAACA
RNAcentral lists this ribosomal RNA (401 nucleotides) under uncultured bacterium. Its description in RNAcentral is "bacterial SSU rRNA". It matches the Rfam family "Bacterial small subunit ribosomal RNA", at positions 356 to 774 of the family's 1533-position model. The record is from RNAcentral.